GAUGAAGAACGUAGCGAAAUGCGAUAAGUAAUGUGAAUUGCUGAAUUCAGUGAAUCAUCGAAUCUUUGAACGCACAUUGCGCCCGCCAGUAUUCUGGCGGGCAUGCCUGUCUGAGCGUCAUUUCAACCCUCAUGCCCCUAGGGCGUGGUGUUGGGGAUCGGCCAAAGCCCGCGAGGGACGGCCGGCCCCUAAAUCUAGUGGCGGACCCGUCGUGGCCUCCUCUGCGAAGUAGUGAUAUUCCGCAUCGGAGAGCGAUGAGCCCCUGCCGUUAAACCCCCAACUUUCCAAGGUUGACCUCAGAUCAGGUAGGAAUACCCGCUGAACUUAAGCAUAUCAAUAAGCGGAGGA
Molecule: unclassified non-coding RNA, 348 nt
Filed under: soil metagenome
Description: partial contains 5.8S ribosomal RNA, internal transcribed spacer 2, and large subunit ribosomal RNA
Rfam family: 5.8S ribosomal RNA (bases 1-120)
Source: RNAcentral